Molecule: RNA transcript, 1009 nt
Organism: Aphidius gifuensis
Lineage: Eukaryota; Metazoa; Arthropoda; Insecta; Hymenoptera; Braconidae
Gene name: insulin-like growth factor III
Exons: 3
Source: RefSeq, a predicted model, not a curated record
UAGAGAAAAGAGAAAUAUAAAUUCAUCUUAACAUUUAGUAGAACCGAAGUACCGGCAAACGUCGGAUCUCUUCGAUUUCUGUUCAAAUUCAUUAUUCAUCAUCUCAAAUAUAAUAUAAUUAUACUUUUUUUUAAAAUAAUAUUAAAGUCUUAUUAUCAAUAAAUAAUUAUAAAUUUAUAAUAAUUCGUAUAUAUAAGUAAAUAGAAAAAUUUUUUAAAUUAAAAAAAAAUUAAAAGUAAAAUUUCGAUCAUCUAUUUUCUUUGUGAAUAUUUAAAUAUUAUUUAAAAAUUUUUUUUUUCUUAAUUUUAUUUUUAUUUAUAUAAAAACAAGUAUGAAUAAAAUAAAUAAAAAUUAAUUUUCAACGAGUCUCAAGUGUGUUGUUUAUUGCAAAAACGAAAAAAAAAAAAAAGAAAAAAAAAAAAUCAAUAAUAAAUUAUUUAAACAAGUGUUUGAAGUUUUAAUAAUGUUUAAUUUAAAUUACAAGUGUUUAAUAAUAAUUUUAUUAACAAUAUAUUGUGUUAAAUCACAAUCAUCACAUGAAUUUCAUCAUAGAAAACGUUGUUCACGUGUAUUAUCUGAUGCAUUAUCAUUAUUAUGUGGUAAAAUAUACAAUAUGCCAAGUGCAUCACAAUUUGAUGAUUCAAAUGGUCCUGGUAUUGUUGAAGAAUGCUGUUACCAUGCAUGUAGCGUAUCACAAUUAGAAAAAUAUUGUGGUAAUCCAACGAGUAAUAAAUCAGAACAAUCACAAAAAGAUACUUGAGAAUGAACUCAGGGCACUGCACUGGACAUGCUUACAAAGUUCAACAUACAUCAGCUAAAAAAUUCAUAUAAAUAAGUUUUAUUCACGAUUGAUGAUCAAAUAUUCAAGAAAAAAAAAAAUUCAAAGAGGUCAAGCUUUUAUCAAAUAAACCUUCAAAAAAUGUAUAAAAGCAAAUUUUGCUUUUCUAUGUAUUUUAUGUUCGUCAAAAAAAAAAAGAAAAAAAAAAAAAAAAAAACGAUAAACUUUACA